UCGAUAGCUUCAAGCUCCAACCAUCACUUCCCUUCUCCAACAUGCCAAACGACAGCGUUCUGAGUCUUUUCUUCUUCGUUACCCUCUUCACAUGCCUUCUCUCUGCUAAUUCCCACGAUGACCAUAUUUUCCUACCGAGUCAACUCCAUGACGAUGACUCAGUGAGUUGCACUGCUACCGACCCAAACCUUAACUACAAG
Molecule: unclassified non-coding RNA, 200 nt
Filed under: uncultured bacterium
Lineage: Bacteria
Description: contains 16S-23S intergenic spacer region
Source: RNAcentral